UACUGUGAUUACUUUUAGAAAUCAGAAAACCUCUGCAACUCCAAAUGGCAUUCAGCUCUUGCAUUUGGCGCACCAUCAGGCUGAGCGGACCAGCUAUGCCAAGAACGUUAGCCAAGCCACCAGGUAGUGGCUUUAUCACGCCAGUUCUGGGUCCUGGCUGCCAUCUUCCCACAGAAAGCAGAAGAGCGCCCACAGAACUCUGGGAGAUUGCAAAGGUCAUAUGUGCAUAUUUACCAGUGAAUGGCCCUAGGUGGGCACCAUGGGGGUGUUCAGAGCAAGCCAAACGCUGCAAUGAUUCUUUACAGACACUUAAGACUGACUUUUUUAUGAAUUACUUAAUCGAAACCAAAGAAACUUUUUCUGCACCUACUUCUGCAACAAACAGAACUGUCCCAUUAAAUGAAUAAACAAAUCCGUAAAUCAAUGGAAAUCACCAUCAACAAGAAGGAAGCACGCCAGAAAAAAGAAAACCCACAAAAAACAAAAAUCAGCGCGACACACUGUGUUCAAACAGACCUCUUGGGACAUUUUUUGGAAGCAGAUUUGAAAGAAAGGGUUGAGACAAGAAUUGAAGUAAGGAAGAGCCUGAAUGGCUGCUGCUUCAUUUGACAACUCACAUGGUAAUCUUAAAGUUGAAGAUUGUCUUUAAUUUGUGCCUAUGCAGUUUUUCAAAAGAACACGGAACAGAGCAACAGAAACCUCAACAGCUACAAUACCAAAGAUGAGGAUUUCUCACACCUUUUGUUUCAGUUCAUUAUCUUCUUUUGCCUGGCUAAAAUACUAAUAGCGCCAUUGAUCUGUACAAAGAGAGCACUGCAGUUUGUUUGCUGUCAGAACAACAGAGCAAAUUUUGUGGACAAGCAAUGACUACUCAACCUGAACCUGUGCAUUCAGAAAACAUAAGCUGAGACCCUGCUUCACCAGCCUGGAUUUCGGGGCUUCUAUAUGGAAAGUGGAAAAAUAAAUUUUAAAAAAAUCAUAAACAAAAAAAGAGAGAAACCCUUAACACUAGCUGCUUCCAAGAAUGAACUCUGUGUGUGUGUAAAGCAACAAAACAGAAAAGGAAAAAAAAAGCAGAAAAAAAGAAAAAAAAAGGAAAAACUUUCUAUUUCUAGUGAGAACCAAAGAAGGCUACCUCACUGACUUUUUCCAUUUGUAAUUUUAAUCGUGUUGAUGACACCAAAGAUACCAAAGAUUUCUUUCUCUGUGCGGUCUGCAUUUUGCUUGUGCUCUUUUAUAAUUUAACUAUUCUCUCUGACAUAUGGUAUGUACAGCCACAGCUCAGAUACCCCAAAGAAAUAAUUAUCUAUGUGAUGGUGGCUGCUAAUUUGGAAAGGGAUAUUUUCUGUGUUUCUCUCAUUUAUUUGCUCUCUCCACAUGAUCAGGACGCAAGUUUAGAUGCUGCUUUAAUUGGAUUCCCUAAAUUAUGAUCCCUAAAUUGAUGAAGACUGGUAGGAGAGGGCCUUCAGUUCUAGCCAUGACCUCUGUCCCUCCUGUGGAGCUAUCACAGGAAAGAGACAAGUACUGGGUCAUAGAAAUUCUAACCAUUGGAUUGUAGAGUAGGAAAAGGACUAUAGGAUUCAUUAAGUCCAGCCCCCUAUGUCCUGGAGAAAUGAAAUCAUUAUCCAAGUCAAAUUACACCAGAGUCACAGCCACUAAUCUCCUAGCUCCACCCCAGUGCUCUGCAUAUUGCUGUCAAGUAGGCAAGUAGGAAAGUAGCAAUCCUGUAGCUGCUUAUUAUCUAACAUUCUCAUCCUAUAAGGAUAGUUACAGGUACUUUCAGUAUCUUAUCCAGUUACAUCUCCACAGAGGUACAUAUGAUCCAGUGCUUAGUAAGGUCGACAGUCUUGAAAUAUUAGGGCUCAUUUGGAGGUUUCUAACCUGGGAAGUGCAUAUUGAUCCAAACAGUGCGAUCACUUUUGAACCUCCCCAUUAAAAGUGUUGUAUAAACAAGCUUUUAAUUCAGUAGGAAGAGAGAGUUCAUUCUUGGCCCAUUAAAUUUAAUUAUUAUGGACAUUUUAAGGUCAGUAUUUACCAAGAAAGAGAACAUGACUAUAGUUUGCACAUACAGCAUUUCAGUGAUCAGCUUUUUCUUUUAUUCUUUUUUACUUAUAGAUGUUUAAAUUUUAUUCCUAAGCCAAAGGUAUAUUUUCAAGAGCCUUACAUUUUUGAUGCUAAACAGCUACUCAUUGUAAAUGAAGAAUGAGCCCAAGAUUUCAAAUGCAUGGAUAUGCCAUUUUUAAAAAUGGUUACUUAGGGCUCGGGAUUUAGCUCAGUGGUUCCAGCGCCUGCCUUGCAAGCGCAAGGUCCCAAGUUCGAUUCCCA
This 2325-nucleotide long non-coding RNA is filed under the name Heterocephalus glaber (naked mole-rat). Its description in RNAcentral is "lncRNA (ENSHGLG00100038434.1)". Lineage: Eukaryota; Metazoa; Chordata; Mammalia; Rodentia; Bathyergidae. The record is from RNAcentral.